UUGAUCAUUUUUAAUGCUGGCCCAUGCCCUUCUGGGAGAGAGGAUCCCCAAAAGAAAGCCACCAUUUCAGUGGGGGAUCUGACGCUCCUAUGGGAAGGGGAGACCCGGGGCACUAGGGGCAAACAUCUUUGCUCAUUGGUUCAGAGAAGAGUACAAGACACCAAGGAGGCGCUCAGUGAAAAUCUGCUCAAGACUGCCGCUCCUCCCUGCAAAGCCUCAAGCAUCAAGCAGGGACAACUGGAUGUGAUUUUUUGGAUCUGCAGUUCAGGAUAAUUCAUGAGUCGUUUCCUGUGCACAAGGCCAUUGCUCCUUCUGUGGUCUCAGAACCCCUUCAAGAACCACUGACGCUGCAGUCCUACCACAAGGCGCGCAUGCGUGUCCGUGCGCGCACGCGGAUGUGCACCACGGAGGGGCUGAGGCUGGGAGCCAUAGUCAGGGGCACCGGGUGGGCUUUGGCGGGGGAUCGACCUGCCUUUCAGGUGCCGGGGGUUUGGGAGCAGGGGAACGGGCCCCGGGCCGAUCCUGACCGCCCCCUCCGCGCCCCGCCCCCACUUACUGUCGCUUUCCCCGCCCGCCCGCCCGAACUCCCGCCCCCGGGCGCCCGCCCGCUCCCACCUGUCACCCCCAUGCAGACCGAGGCUCUGUCCUGGAGGCGGGGAGCGGGCUGGUAGAUGCUGCCUCUCAGCCUCCAGUGUGCUCUUUGGCUGGGAGACUGGGGGGCGCUGGAAAUAUUGGAGGCGCUGGUGCCUGUGAUGUCGCCACCUCUGUGACGUCCCUGCCGCGACCCCGCAGGCAGGGAGCCGCAUUUAGGUUCCGGGCGGGCGGGCGGGCGGGCAGGCGGGGGACGGCCCGAGUGAGGUGUCCUCCGAAGGCUGCGGGCCCGAAGCCAGAAUCCCUCUCCAAAGACCUCGGGAGUAGGGCUCGCGCUUCCGCUGCGGGCCCAGAGCAAGAGGCAGGCGGCAGAGUCACUGACCUGCCCUGCCAGAGGGCAGCCAUGAAAGUGCUUUGAGGUCAUCAGAGUGCAAAGUGCCGUCAGCAGUACCCUCCGGCCCGGGGCAGGGCAGGGUGAGUGUUCGUGUGAGCUGUGCUCUGGGGGGCCCGCACGCUGGACACUGACAGUGGGGCUGGGGUGCCGGAGCGUCUCUGUUUGCUGCUUUCCUUAGUAUUGAUCAUGUCCAUCUACAGACCGUUCCUGUCAGGCACAUCCUGCAUCACCCUUCACCUUUACAGAUGAGGGAAGAGCGCCAGUGAGUCUGGGGCAGUGCUGGGCCUGAAGGGGCUCAGGGUCUGCUGCGCUGGGGAAGAGUGAUAGCCAGCAGCAAAGGGGCACGUGUCUGGGGACUGAGAACCACUUCACUUACACACCUUCUUUGGUCGUUGGCUGAACCAGAAGUCAACUCAGGACCUGUGUUACAACAAGCUGAAAAGUGUGGUGUAUUCUACCAGGGAGCCUUCUGGGAUCAGGCAUUCCUUUCCCCUACACCCGAAAGGGAUGAGCUGGCCAGGACUCAGAGAAUCCCACCCAGCCCAAGUGUGGGUCUGGAGGACCUCUCUGUCACCACUGCCAGUCUUACUUUGAGGCCCUGGGGGACGUCGAAGGCCAAUUCCACG
This is a non-coding RNA of Chlorocebus sabaeus (green monkey), 1611 nucleotides long. NCBI's taxonomy places the organism in Eukaryota, Metazoa, Chordata, Mammalia, Primates, Cercopithecidae. The record is from RefSeq and is a predicted model, not a curated record.